Molecule: long non-coding RNA, 282 nt
Filed under: Olea europaea subsp. europaea
Lineage: Eukaryota; Viridiplantae; Streptophyta; Magnoliopsida; Lamiales; Oleaceae
Source: RNAcentral
CUCUAAUAAAAAGAACGAACCUGAAAACGUGGAGUUAUUGUGUUUGGAAAUUGAAUUGGAAGAGAGAUUCUCAGGCGCAGAAGUAACGACGUCUUUUUCUGCUAUUGAUUGUGUAAAGACUGAUGCUUUUCGAGGGAUUGACUGUAGCUUCCAUAGCAAAAAUGGUGGUGCUGUGACGAAGAAUUUGAAAUUAGUAUGAAAAUGCGUAAGUUUCUGAGACAAUAACAUGGAUGAAUUAGGGUAUAAUCGCACAGAAGCCAUUACGGAAUUGUAAGAGCACAG